CGGGGUGGAGUAACGCGUGGGUAACCUGCCUUAUACAGGGGGAUAACAGUUGGAAACGGCUGCUAAUACCGCAUAAGCGCACGGCAUCGCAUGAUGCAGUGUGAAAAACUCCGGUGGUAUAAGAUGGACCCGCGUUGGAUUAGCUAGUUGGUGAGGUAACGGCCCACCAAGGCGACGAUCCAUAGCCGACCUGAGAGGGUGACCGGCCACAUUGGGACUGAGACACGGCCCAA
Molecule: ribosomal RNA, 233 nt
Filed under: uncultured bacterium
Lineage: Bacteria
Description: partial 16S ribosomal RNA
Rfam family: Bacterial small subunit ribosomal RNA
Source: RNAcentral